AUUGAACGCUGGCGGCAUGCUUUACACAUGCAAGUCGAACGGUAACAGGCCUUCGGGUGCUGACGAGUGGCGCACGGGUGAGUAAUGCAUCGGAACGUACCCAGAGGUGGGGGAUAACGCAGCGAAAGCUGUGCUAAUACCGCAUGUGAUCUGAGGAUGAAAGCGGGGGACCGAGCAGCAAUGUUUGGCCUCGCGCCUUUGGAGCGGCCGAUGUCGGAUUAGCUAGUUGGUGGGGUAAAGGCCUACCAAGGCGACGAUCCGUAGCUGGUCUGAGAGGACGACCAGCCACACUGGGACUGAGACACGGCCCAGACUCCUACGGGAGGCAGCAGUGGGGAAUUUUGGACAAUGGGCGCAAGCCUGAUCCAGCAAUGCCGCGUGCGGGAAGAAGGCCUUCGGGUUGUAAACCGCUUUUGGCAGGAACGAAACGGUGUCCGCUAAUACCGGGCGCUAAUGACGGUACCUGCGGAAUAAGCACCGGCUAACUACGUG
RNAcentral lists this ribosomal RNA (492 nucleotides) under uncultured bacterium. Its description in RNAcentral is "partial 16S ribosomal RNA". It matches the Rfam family "Bacterial small subunit ribosomal RNA", at positions 29 to 507 of the family's 1533-position model. The record is from RNAcentral.